This 759-nucleotide long non-coding RNA is filed under the name Anser brachyrhynchus (Pink-footed goose). RNAcentral's name for it is "lncRNA (ENSABRG00000014819.1)". The record is from RNAcentral. Lineage: Eukaryota; Metazoa; Chordata; Aves; Anseriformes; Anatidae.
UUUUUGUUUAAUUAAACAAAUGGAACAAUUGUCACAAAAGUAUUUUGCUAGAGACUUCUAACAGACAACUAUCUGCUAACUUAACAAAUAGGUUCUUACAUUUACUAGCACUGUUGGGUUGCGUUUCAUAUUACAGCUCAUUUUGGUAGAUCUUUGUUCUAGAUCCUUUUGAGGUCUGUGUUACUGUCAAGAGCCAAGAGCUCUGACAGCUGUUGCCAGCUCUGGGUGGUUUGUUUAAAACAAUAAGGGAGUCGCUUAGCAACAUCACAUCACAUAUUUGGUACCCUACAGUAUCUCACAUUCCUAACUACUCUGCACAUCCUCAUGACUUAAAGGGCCACUGUCAAGUUAAUAACCAUACCCAAACGUGUACUUACAUCUCUGUCUCCCCGUAAUGAGAUAUAUGAGAUUCAGACUCUCAAUCCAUUUAAUGACCAGAGGAAUUUGGAUCCGGGCAUGUGGUUCAAAGCAAUCUCACUUUAACAGAGGGAGGAAGGAGGAAAUCCAAAUUCUACUAUCAACCCAAAGAACUGGAUGUUGCAGAGGGCCUUCUGAAACACAUAUCCAGAACACUGAAUAUUUUCCUGCUGCUAAUUGGACGAGGCCUCCUGAACUAUCUACCCUUCUCUCUUCUACAGGAUUUUCCAAUGCUCUUUUGAACAUGGUAGAACAACUCACCCCCCCAAAUUCUUUUUUGUUCCCCCUCCAUAGAGUGAAAUAAGAAAGUAAAAUAAACAAUCAAAAAAAAAAAAAGAAACA